Molecule: ribosomal RNA, 253 nt
Filed under: uncultured bacterium
Lineage: Bacteria
Description: partial 16S ribosomal RNA
Rfam family: Bacterial small subunit ribosomal RNA
Source: RNAcentral
UACGUAGGGGGCUAGCGUUGUCCGGAAUCAUUGGGCGUAAAGCGCGUGUAGGCGGUUCGGUAAGUCCGCUGUGAAAGUCGGGGGCUCAACCCUCGGAAGCCGGUGGAUACUGUCGAGCUAGAGUACGGAAGAGGCGAGUGGAAUUCCUGGUGUAGCGGUGAAAUGCGCAGAUAUCAGGAGGAACACCUGCGGCGAAGGCGGGUUGCUGGGCCGACACUGACGCUGAUGCGCGAAAGCCAGGGGAGCGAACGGG